AUGGAAUAAUGCAUUAUUUCCACAGGUGACAAAGUAAGAUGAAAAAUACUUCUUAGCACCAACCCUGUGUGCACUCCUUUCAGAAAGCAGCAAAAAAAACAAAACAAACAAAAAAACCUCAUAUCUAUUGAAAAAAAAAGAAAAGCUCUGGGAAAUGGUGGGGCUGUUACAGCUGUGUGGCUGUGAGCCAAAGCUGCUGCAGGAACUGCCAGCACAUCCAAGGCACACAGCAGGCACAGAUGCAAACAUCUUGAAAAAGACCAACCAGAGCAGUGAGAUGCACUGCGGGGUGCAGAAGUGGGACCCUCCCUCCAGCCAGGGCAACCUCGGUGGAUGUUACAGAACAACACAGGGAACCACAGCUGCAUUCACCAGCACGUCUUCCUUCUUAACACAGACACACACACAGCACUGAGGGACCUUCGGUUGAUCGCGUGCUGCAGACAGCAGCAGCCUGACGUACUACAGAAGUGCACACACUCUUCUUGGCUUUGCAGCUGCCACUCACCCCAUGGCUGAGAUUCAAUGAGUUUCAGCUGUAUGCAAGCAGCAGCCUCGUGAUUCUCUCCAAUUUCCCGGCACAUGCUGAAGCAAAGGGCAAUCAUGUUGUGCUUCUCACUGUCCCCUGGGCGGCAGCGCUUGAUGUAAUCCAGCAGAGCUGUCUUCAGUGUCCCACUCGGGUCCAACUUCUUCCUCAUGAGCACUUCAAAGUAAUGCUUCUCGUGCAGCAGCUCAAAGAUGUAGGUCAUCUCAUUGUAUCUGCCGAUCCCAGUGAGAAGACGAACCAUAAGUCCAUACUCAUCAUUAGGUGCCAAAUGCUCAUCUGUGAGCAGCCGUGCUGCCUGCAGGACUCUGGUGAUUCCUUCCAUGUGGCAAGUCAGACUAAAGCAAUUAUGGGCCAGAAUCAGCAGUUCUGUAAUGCAUGACAGUUCUCCACGUGGCACAGAGGAAAUUUUCUCCAGCAGCUUCAUGCCCACCAGCGUGUGGUCCUGGCACAGCUUUGCGAGCUGCAGGAACGCCUGGCUCUCAGCUGCAGGGUUGGAAACCUGCUUCUGUCCUGCACAGAGACAGCCAGUUACACCCAAAGUGCUGCAGUGAUGGAAAAACCAAAACCAAUAUAACCUCAUCUGGCUGAGCUAGGGCUGGGAACUACAGUUCUAAGACACUUCUGAUCUUAGUGCUGAGAUUUGGGAAUCAGGUACUACUACCGUG
Molecule: long non-coding RNA, 1212 nt
Filed under: Gallus gallus (chicken)
Lineage: Eukaryota; Metazoa; Chordata; Aves; Galliformes; Phasianidae
Source: RNAcentral